This is a non-coding RNA of Chinchilla lanigera (long-tailed chinchilla), 485 nucleotides long. Lineage: Eukaryota; Metazoa; Chordata; Mammalia; Rodentia; Chinchillidae. The record is from the annotation of a RefSeq genome assembly.
CUGUGCCCUCGAUCAUCCCACAACCACCACUCUCCUCUGCAGAAUCCCCCAGAGCACAGCUCCCCGCCAUGGACCAGACCUGGAGAAUCCUCUUCUUGGUGCUUGCUGCCACAGGUGCACACGCCCAGGAGCAGCUGGUGCAGUCUGGGGCUGAGCUGAGGAGGCCCGGGGCCUCAGUGAAGGUCUCCUGCAAGGCUUCAGGCUACUCUUUCAGCAGUUACUGGAUGAACUGGGUGCGACAGAGCCCUGGACAAGGACUAGAGUGGAUUGGAGAUAUCUACCCUGGUGAUGGUGAUACUGAUUAUGCUCAAAAGUUCCAAGCGAGGGUCACCCUCACCUCGGACAAGUCCUCCAGCACAGCCUACAUGGCGCUGAGCAGUUUGACGUCUGAGAACACAGCCGUGUAUUACUGUGCGAGACACAGUGUGGUCACCCACAUCCUGACUGUGUCAGAAACCCAGAGGGAGGAGCAGCUACCUAGAUGA